This 468-nucleotide ribosomal RNA is filed under the name uncultured bacterium. RNAcentral describes it as "partial 16S ribosomal RNA". It matches the Rfam family "Bacterial small subunit ribosomal RNA", at positions 28 to 507 of the family's 1533-position model. The record is from RNAcentral.
GACGAACGCUGGCGGCGUGCUUAACACAUGCAAGUCGAACGGAAAGGCCCUGCUUUUGUGGGGUGCUCGAGUGGCGAACGGGUGAGUAACACGUGAGUAACCUGCCCUUGACUUUGGGAUAACUUCAGGAAACUGGGGCUAAUACCGGAUAGGAGCUCCUGCUGCAUGGUGGGGGUUGGAAAGUUUCGGCGGUUGGGGAUGGACUCGCGGCUUAUCAGCUUGUUGGCGGGGUAGUGGCUUACCAAGGCUUUGACGGGUAGCCGGCCUGAGAGGGUGACCGGCCACAUUGGGACUGAGAUACGGCCCAGACUCCUACGGGAGGCAGCAGUGGGGAAUAUUGCACAAUGGGCGGAAGCCUGAUGCAGCAACGCCGCGUGCGGGAUGACGGCCUUCGGGUUGUAAACCGCUUUCGCCUGUGACGAAGCGUGAGUGACGGUAAUGGGUAGAGAAGCACCGGCUAACUACGUG